Molecule: long non-coding RNA, 366 nt
Filed under: Hordeum vulgare
Lineage: Eukaryota; Viridiplantae; Streptophyta; Magnoliopsida; Poales; Poaceae
Description: long non-coding RNA (HVUL_LNC009103)
Source: RNAcentral
UUGGGAUCCCCAUGCUCCCUGUGUGUAAAAAAACUGAAACAAUCGACUUCAUCUAUGUUCUUCAAAAGCCAACUCAGUAAUUUCCCAUCGGAGGCAUCCCAUAUGCCGGCAUCGGACCAGGACCCAUCGGAGGCAUACCCAUCCCACCCAUCGGAGGCAUACCCAUCCCACCCAUAGGAGGCAUACCCAUCCCACCAAUCGGGGGUGGACCACCCAUACCAGGUGGAGCAGGCAAGGCCAGAGGGAGCAAUUGAGCGUACAUGUUCUGUAUAACAAAACACAACUUGUCAUGCUGACUGCUUAAACAUGAAUAACAGGACACUGCUUAAACACAACUUGUCACUGUAUAACCCAUAGGAGGAUUAC